RNAcentral lists this unclassified non-coding RNA (335 nucleotides) under uncultured Mortierella. Its description in RNAcentral is "partial contains 5.8S ribosomal RNA, internal transcribed spacer 2, and large subunit ribosomal RNA". Lineage: Eukaryota; Fungi; Mortierellomycota; Mortierellomycetes; Mortierellales; Mortierellaceae. The record is from RNAcentral.
AACGCACAUUGCACUCUCUGGUAUUCCGGAGAGUAUGCUUGUUUGAGUAUCUGUAAACAUCUCAAAUCUCUCGACUUUCGAGUUUGAGAGAAUUGGACUUGAGCAAUCCCAACUCCUUCGUCAGAAAGAGGAGGGUUGCUUGAAAUGCAGGUGCAGCUGGGCAUUCUUCUGAGCUAAAAGCAUAUUUAUUUAGUCCCGUCAAACGGAUUAUUAUUCUUGCUUCAGCUUACAUAAAGGUUGAAUGACUACCGAGGCUAAUUGCAGGUAAACUCGUUCCGUUAAAAAGAACUUGUGGACUCGAUCUCAAAUCAAGUAAGACUACCCGCUGAACUUAA